This 253-nucleotide ribosomal RNA is filed under the name uncultured bacterium. Its description in RNAcentral is "partial 16S ribosomal RNA". It matches the Rfam family "Bacterial small subunit ribosomal RNA", at positions 524 to 776 of the family's 1533-position model. The record is from RNAcentral.
UACGAAGGGUGCAAGCGUUAAUCGGAAUUACUGGGCGUAAAGCGUGCGCAGGCGGUUUUGUAAGCCAGGUGUGAAAUCCCCGGGCUCAACCUGGGAAUGGCAUUUGGGACUGCAAGGCUGGAGUGCGGCAGAGGAGACUGGAAUUCCUGGUGUAGCAGUGAAAUGCGUAGAUAUCAGGAGGAAUACCGAUGGCGAAGGCAGGUCUCUGGGCUGACACUGACGCUCAUGCACGAAAGCGUGGGGAGCAAACAGG